ACUGGUAAUACUACUGGUAAUACUACUAGUAACACUAUAAGUGACAAAAACAGUAAUAAAGAUAAUAUUGGAUCGAUUCAAACUUAUAGUAGUAAACAUAAUGUAAUGAAUAUAUAUAGUGGUAUGUUACAAAACAAAUAUAAUAUUUAUGAUAAUAUGAAGGGUUGUGUUAUUAUAGAUAAAAAUGACUCACCCAACAUUGUUAAUAACAAUACAAGCACUACUAAAUGUAACAAUACCGAUAUUAGUGUUAGCAGUAAUAGUAGUUGUAGUUGUAGUAGUUGUAGUAGUUGUAAUAGUAGUAAUAAUAAUAAUAGUAAUAAUAAUAAUAGCAGUAAUAAUAAUAGCAGUAAUAAUAAUAGCAGUAAUAAUAAUAGCAGUAAUAAUAAUAAUAAUAAUAAUAAUAAUAAUGAUAAUAGUCCCAUUUCCAAAACAGAGUUUAAUGAUUCAAAGAAAGAACAUUAUAGUUCUAAUUAUAAAAACGUCCUUAAGAUGACAACAUCUGAAAGGGCUAAACAUCAAGCAAUGGACUAUUUACUUUAUGAUUCUGUAACACAAACAAAAGGAAAUUUUUUUCAAAAUUUUAUAGUAUGUGAUAAAAAUAUUUAUAAAGCUAUAAAAAAAAAAACUUAUGCUGAUAUGUCCUAUGUUUUAUUUUUUUAUAUGAAUUGUUAUAAAAAUUUGAGAAAAGGAGAAUUGAUGGAAAUACCUUUAUAUUUGGAGACAUAUAUGGAAACAACUACAUCUGGUAAUAGUAAUAAUUUCGAAAAAAAUGAUAAAGGUAUGACUGUUAGCGGUAACAAUGCUGAUUAUUAUAAAACAGAAAAAAAGCAAGAUGGUAUAAAAACUAGUACCACUAGCAGUAGUAACAAUAGUAGUAAUGGUAGUAGUACCGAUCCUAGUGGUAAUAGUAUACGUUUUGGGCUUAAAAAACAUAUUCACAAAAAUAAAUGUAAGGAUCCAGAAAAUGAAAAUACAUACAACCAUGAACAUGCACCUAGUUCAAGUGAAAAUAAUAGCAGUAGUGUAGAUAGUGAUAGCAGUUGUAAUAAUAUGGAAAAUAAUACUGAUAACACGAACAGAACUAAUAUAGGUGGAUAUUUUUUAUAUGCUCUUGUUAUAUCACACUAUACCUAUGCAUGUAAUCAUAUAUUAUCCCAAAACUGUAGUUACAAUAAAACAAACGAUAUGAAUUUUGCUAAUAAUAAUUAUAGCACUACUAGUAGUAGUAGUAGCAAUAACAACGAACAAAGUAAAGAUUAUUCAUAUUUAAUUUUCAGACCAUAUUUAAAUGGGUCAUGGUACAAAGUUUAUAAAAAUAGAAUAACCAAAUUAGAACAAACAUGUGAAUUUAAUGAAUGGAAAUUUCAUAAAGAUUUUUUUUGUUCUUGUUGUAUUUAUGUUUGUGAAUUUUAUUAUCAUUUACAUAAUUUUAUAUUUAUGCAUAAGUUUAAUAUAAAAGAUAUAAACUUUCCUUUGUAUAUACAUACAUUGCAAGAGUUUAAAAUUAAAGAGAGUGAUUUAUUUGAUUUUUACAACAAGGAGAAUAAAGAAAUUGUUGGUUCUCGUUUGGAUCAGCACCACCAGUUGAUGGAUGUUGUUGGUCACAACACUGUGUAUGAGAUACCGUCUUUGAGUAAGAGCGAACAAGAAAAGGGAACUGAAGAAGAAAAGGGAACUGAAGAAGAAAAGGG
RNAcentral lists this long non-coding RNA (1694 nucleotides) under Piliocolobus tephrosceles (Ugandan red Colobus). Its description in RNAcentral is "lncRNA (ENSPTEG00000028538.1)". Lineage: Eukaryota; Metazoa; Chordata; Mammalia; Primates; Cercopithecidae. The record is from RNAcentral.